Molecule: ribosomal RNA, 427 nt
Filed under: uncultured bacterium
Lineage: Bacteria
Description: bacterial SSU rRNA
Rfam family: Bacterial small subunit ribosomal RNA
Source: RNAcentral
UCGAGAAUUUUUCACAAUGGGGGAAACCCUGAUGGAGCGACGCCGCGUGGGGGAUGAAGGGCUUCGGCUCGUAAACCCCUGUCAUUUGCGAACAAGGCUUACGACCUAACACGUCGUGAGUUGAUAGUAGCGAAAGAGGAAGAGACGGCUAACUCUGUGCCAGCAGCCGCGGUAAUACAGAGGUCUCAAGCGUUGUUCGGAUUUACUGGGCGUAAAGGGUGCGUAGGUGGUGAGGAAAGUCUGAUGUGAAAUCUCCAAGCUUAACUUGGAAAUGGCAUUGGAAACUACCUUGCUAGAGGAUUGAAGGGGGGACUGGAAUGCUCGGUGUAGCAGUGAAAUGCGUAGAUAUCGAGCGGAACACCAGUGGCGAAGGCGAGUCCCUGGACAAUUCCUGACACUGAGGCACGAAAGCUAGGGGAGCAAACAG